AUCUAGAUGACGAGUCCCAAAUAGGAGGGAAUAUGCAUUCUGGAU
This 45-nucleotide non-coding RNA is filed under the name Trichobilharzia regenti. Lineage: Eukaryota; Metazoa; Platyhelminthes; Trematoda; Strigeidida; Schistosomatidae. The record is from RNAcentral.